CAAGAAUCGGCGCAUUAGCGCGUAGUGGCGUGUGGCGGAAUACGAGUUUGCCUGCGCAGGACCGAGAGGAGACGCUGGUGUUUGUCUGCUCACGUCAGUUAUCUUUUGUGUGAAAUUCGGGGUGACAACAACGUGGAUGUUUCCAGGCGCGCAGCUCUGCGGUGCUGGUGGAGGGGUGCGGUGUACAGCCUGGCGUGACGCUGCGCCAGCCCAGGGCCUGCCUGUCACUCAUUAUUGCAAAGGCAGGGGAGCCCCGGUGCCAGCUGUACCGGUCCCCAGGCCUCCAGAGGACCCGCUAUGAUGGAGCGUCUUGCUCGGCGCAGUGCUCUGCUUCAGUUCACGCUAUUUAAACACUGUGUCCACAACCCAAAGCUGCACCAACUGCGCCCAAGCUUCUUCUUUACCACGGAAAAGCUUUCAGCAGCAACAACAACAACAAAGAAAGUUUCCCCUGGAUCCAGGAUUUUCAUUUUGGUUUCUUUCGUUUAGGAUGUCCAACUGCUAAAAAAAAUAAAUAAAACAAAAUGCAAAUAAAAAAAUAGUUGCAUUGCAAUCCAGAUGAUUGGAGCUCUGCGUUUCAGAAAAAAAAAAGGAAAAAUCGUGG
Molecule: long non-coding RNA, 604 nt
Filed under: Lepisosteus oculatus (spotted gar)
Lineage: Eukaryota; Metazoa; Chordata; Actinopteri; Semionotiformes; Lepisosteidae
Description: lncRNA (ENSLOCG00000022103.1)
Source: RNAcentral